RNAcentral lists this long non-coding RNA (549 nucleotides) under Takifugu rubripes (torafugu). Its description in RNAcentral is "lncRNA (ENSTRUG00000027373.1)". The record is from RNAcentral. Lineage: Eukaryota; Metazoa; Chordata; Actinopteri; Tetraodontiformes; Tetraodontidae.
ACAUAACAUGGUUGCUUUAUGAUCAAAGCCCUUUGGCUUUGAAAAACGAUGAAAGGUCAAAUUCCUUCCAGAAUCCAGGACAUCACCAAGAUUUAAUAAGCUCUUCCUUGGCCUAUUAUUAACAUUUCCUGGAAAUUUCAUUAAAAUCCUUUUAAAACAUCUUAUUUUUACAGACAGACAUCGGCAGUCACAUAAGCUCCUUGGCAGAGACACCAAUCGGGCCAAGAGGAACCAGGAGAGUGACAGAAUUAUCCUGGCAUGUUGGCUGACCACCUCGCCUGAGCUACAGCAAUCCCAAGAGCCUUCAGCAUGUGAAACAGAGUCUGCGGAAGCUCAUGUGGGUGUAUGUACAUUUAGACCGUUGGAUCCUGUCAACCUCAUUGUCUUCCUGUCAGACUCCCUGCCUCAGAAUGAUAAAAACAUCACACCUCCCUCGCAAAAGAUAACAUAUCAUGAGAGCACGUGGGAUGGCUUGGGAGUGCAGGAUGCAUAAUGUGAUGCUGAGUCAGCAUUUAUCUGGCCUUAACAGUUUGAAUGCUCAAAUAAAUU